Molecule: ribosomal RNA, 804 nt
Filed under: uncultured Alphaproteobacteria bacterium
Lineage: Bacteria; Pseudomonadati; Pseudomonadota; Alphaproteobacteria
Description: bacterial SSU rRNA
Rfam family: Bacterial small subunit ribosomal RNA
Source: RNAcentral
CAUGCAAGUCGAACGCAGUAGCAAUACUGAGUGGCAAACGGGUGAGUAUAAUGUGGGAAUCUGCCUUUUGGUUUGGGAUAACACGGGGAAACUUGUGCUAAUACCGAAUAAGCCCUUACGGGGAAAGUUUUAAUGCCGAAAGAUGAGCCCGCACUUGAUUAGCUAGUUGGUAAGGUAAAAGCUUACCAAGGCAACGAUCAAUAGCUGUUCUUAGAGGAAGACCAGCCACAUUGGGACUGAGACACGGCCCAGACUCCUACGGGAGGCAGCAGUGGGGAAUCUUGCACAAUGGGGGAAACCCUGAUGCAGCGAUGCCGCGUGAGUGAAGAAGGCCUUUGGGUUGUAAAACUCUUUCGUCGGGGAAGAAAAUGACUGUACCCGAAUAAGAAGGUCCGGCUAACUUCGUGCCAGCAGCCGCGGUAAUACGAAGGGACCUAGCGUAGUUCGGAAUUACUGGGCUUAAAGAGCUCGUAGGUGGUUAAAAAAGUUGAUGGUGAAAUCCCAAGGCUCAACCUUGGAACUGCCAUCAAAACUUUUUAGCUAGAGUGUGAUAGAGGUAAGUGGAAUUUCUAGUGUAGAGGUGAAAUUCGUAGAUAUUAGAAAGAACACCAAAUGCGAAGGCAACUUACUGGGUCACUACUGACACUGAGGAGCGAAAGCAUGGGUAGCGAAGAGGAUUAGAUACCCUCGUAGUCCAUGCCGUAAACGAUGUGUGCUAGACGUUGGAAAUAUAUUUUUCAGUGUCGCAGCGAAAGCAUUAAGCACACCGCCUGGGGAGUACGACCGCAAGGUUAAAACUCAAAU